This 193-nucleotide unclassified non-coding RNA is filed under the name uncultured Endogonomycetes. RNAcentral's name for it is "sequence contains ITS2". Lineage: Eukaryota; Fungi; Mucoromycota; Endogonomycetes. The record is from RNAcentral.
UGAACAUCUCAAAAUCAUUUUUGGAAUUGGGCUUUUCUGUUGUGACAUAUCGGCACAACUGGCCUGAAAUGAGUGACAAAUCAAUGCAAGAAAAUCAUGUAGUUGUCUGGUUGCAAAGACGAAAAGCUAAUUAGUUGACCGUGGUCAAACUUGCUGACUAGUCUUCAAUACUCUGGCAUACUCUACAUUCACU